Molecule: ribosomal RNA, 446 nt
Filed under: uncultured bacterium
Lineage: Bacteria
Description: partial 16S ribosomal RNA
Rfam family: Bacterial small subunit ribosomal RNA
Source: RNAcentral
CCUACGGGAGGCAGCAGUCGAGAAUCAUUCACAAUGGGGGAAACCCUGAUGGUGCGACGCCGCGUGGGGGAAUGAAGGUCUUCGGAUUGUAAACCCCUGUCAUGUGGGAGCAAAUUAAAAAGAUAGUACCCCAAGAGGAAGAGACGGCUAACUCUGUCCCAGCAGCCGCGUUAAUACAGAGGUCCCAAGCGUUGUUCGGAAUCACUGCGCAUAAAGCGUGCUGAGGCUGUUUCGUAAGUCGUGUGUGAAAGGCGCGGGCUCAACCCGCGGACGGCACAUGAUACUGCGAGACUAGAGUAAGGGAGGGGGAACCGGAAUUCUCGGUGUAGCAGUGAAAUGCGUAGAUAUCGAGAGGAACACUCGUGGCGAAGGCGGGUUCCUGGACAUUAACUGACGCUGAGGCACGAAGGCCAGGGGAGCGAAAGGGAUUAGAUACCCGAGUAGUC